RNAcentral lists this ribosomal RNA (407 nucleotides) under uncultured bacterium. RNAcentral's name for it is "partial 16S ribosomal RNA". It matches the Rfam family "Bacterial small subunit ribosomal RNA", at positions 30 to 526 of the family's 1533-position model. The record is from RNAcentral.
AUUGAACGCUGGCGGCAGGCCUAACACAUGCAAGUCGAGCGGAGCGGCGAACGGGUGAGUAAUGCCUAGGAAUCUGCCUGGUAGUGGGGGAUAACGCCCGGUAACGGGCGCUAAUACUGCAGAAUUGCAGAUGAGCCUAGGGCGGAUCAGCUUGUUGGUGGGGCAAAGGACUACCAAGGUGACGAUCCGUAACUGGUCUGAGAGGAUGAUGAGUAACACUGGAACUGAGACACGGUCCAGACUCCUACGGGAGGCAGCAGUGGGGAAUAUUGGACAAUGGGCGAAAGCCUGAUCCAGCCAUGCCGCGUGUGUGAAGAAGGUCUUCGGAUUGUAAAGCACUUUAAGUUGGGAAGCGUUACCAACAAAGAAAGCACCGGCUAACUACGUGCCAGCAGCCGCGGUAAUAC